GCCUCGCUAAACGAUGCACACCUGUAACUCACGUGACCCUGAUUAUUAUUGAAACGAGAACGAGGGCGUCGUGCCUUUAUAAGACUGCGUUAAUGUUUCCGUGGAGUUAUCCCUUCCGGCGUUGUUGUUUAUUGAUUGUUAAACAUGGCUUCAUUUGCAAAGGUGUGUGUGUCCUCAUUGCGUGUGUCUGUAAUGCAUUCUGUUUUCCGAAGAGAGAUGUGAACUUUAAGGCCUCUGCAGUUGACCGCCAAAGUGAUGAUGUGGUUGUCACCACAACACCCGUUCCCCACAACCAGACCACAUCUGCCCAUACUGAAGCUGGUGGUGAGCCAGUGAAGAUGCUGUGGACCGCCAAAGUGAUGUGGUUGUCGCCACAACACCCGAUCCCCACAACCGGACCACAUCUGCCCAUACUGAAGCUGGUGGUGAGCCAGUGAAGAUGCUGUGGACCGCCAAAGUGAUGAUGUGGUUUCCACCACAACACCCAAUCCCCACAACCAGACCACAUCUGCCCCUACUGAAGCUGAUGGAGCAAGUGAAGAUGAUGAUGAUGCAGCAAGUGAAGAUGCUGUGGCUACCACCCCAACACCAAAUCCCCCAACUACAUCUGACCACACUGCAGCUACCGGUGAUGCAAGUGAGGGUGCUGUGGCUGCCCAAACUGGAACUACUGUAUCCCAUACGACUGAAGUCUGAUUCGACUGCUCCUCUGGUCACAAUGACCUGAGUCACUGUCUGGACUUUUUGCCUCUACAUGUUGACUGCAAUAAAGGACAGAUUUGUUUUUUGAAUCAAAUGUUGUCUUGCCUUUUUCAAAUUGAGGCCUUGUCCUGUUUUGGUGGUGGAGAUGACUAUGAAGCCUCUUUCCUAACGUAUUUCCGGUAGUGGUUUUACUAUAUGCUUCAUGCAACAAGGCCUUUAACGACUCUACAAUUUAAAAGCAUCUAGUUGUGUCAAUUAGUAAAAUGGUUGAACUGGUAGUGAUGCACUAUAAUGGUGAACUGCUUGUGGCAUUUCAAAAAUCU
Molecule: long non-coding RNA, 1025 nt
Organism: Clupea harengus (Atlantic herring)
Lineage: Eukaryota; Metazoa; Chordata; Actinopteri; Clupeiformes; Clupeidae
Source: Ensembl